AUACGGAGGAUCCGAGCGUUAUCCGGAUUUAUUGGGUUUAAAGGGUGCGCAGGCGGCCAUUUAAGUCAGCGGUUAAAUCGUGGGGCUCAACCCCAUUCUGCCGUUGAUACUGGGUGGCUUGAUUGCGGUCGAGGUUGGCGGAAUUCGUUGUGUAGCGGUGAAAUGCAUAGAUAUGACGAAGAACACCGAUUGCGUAGGCAGCUGACCAGACCGAAAAUGACGCUCAUGCACGAAAGUGCGGGGAUCGAACAGGAUUAGAUACCCUGGUAGUCCGCACAGUAAACGAUGAAUACUUGUUUUCGGCGAUAUAAUGUCGGAGGCAAAGCGAAAGCGAUAAGUAUUCCACCUGGGGAGUACGCCGGCAACGGUGAAACUCAAAUGAAUUGACGGGG
Molecule: ribosomal RNA, 392 nt
Filed under: uncultured bacterium
Lineage: Bacteria
Description: partial 16S ribosomal RNA
Rfam family: Bacterial small subunit ribosomal RNA
Source: RNAcentral